Long non-coding RNA from Chinchilla lanigera (long-tailed chinchilla), 2147 nucleotides. RefSeq lists it as uncharacterized. Lineage: Eukaryota; Metazoa; Chordata; Mammalia; Rodentia; Chinchillidae. The record is from RefSeq and is a predicted model, not a curated record. The transcript has 5 exons.
CCUGCUGCCACCCUGGAAGGAAUGACCACAGCCUGUGCCUGACAUCCCGGCGGAAGUGCCCCUCGCCGGUGUGGGCCUCGUGUCCUCUCGGCCCACGUUUUUUUGUGGGAACAUGGAAUCCUUGUCACCUGUGUGGCCUUGGAAUCUCUGCUUUCUCCACUAGCCUGAGCCCCUGUGUCAGCUCCGAAGAGCCCUCCCGGCAAGUCGUGAAAUAGCUGUGUGCAGGGUGUGGUUCUGUUGGGCACCUUGGCCAUCUGGGUAGAUCAUGAUACCUUAAUUCGGCUGAAGAGAGGUGAUGACAUAAAAAUCAUGCUCAAUAGGCUUACUCUGAUGUCCAGGUGAGAGGAUAGUUUUUCUGCAGGAAGCUGGCCAAUGCGCAUCCCUGUGUGCCUGCUGUACCCAUUCCGAUGGUCGAGGCUUUCCUCUGGCGUUAGCAAUGGAUACUUGUUUAGGCUCGGUGGGGGUCCUGGUGUGCCCGUCUCAGGGAGUAAUGUUGUGCUCCCUGGCUGCGGCCCUGUCAUCGGCUUUUGUCUUUCAGUGGGCCGCACUCACCAUGUCCCAGCGUGGGCCUCCGACCUGCUAGCCCGCUCACACUGCCACCCUGGAAGGAAGAACUGCAGCCUGUGCCUGUCAUCCCAUCAGAAGGGUGCAUGGCCAGCCGGGUCUGCCCGCACCUGAGCGGCCCUGAGACCUUUGCUCCCCUCUAGCACCCUGGGCCCCCGCAUCUGCUCCCAGACCUCUUCUUUGGGCCGCACCCGCUGCGUUCCAUCAGGGGCCUCCAAGCUGCAAGAUUAAAAGCUAGAACAAGUCACUGUACUUCAGGAAAGAGAGGUAGAGGGCUGGAAUCCGGUGCUAUACUUCAGAGACAGGGUAAGUCACUAACCUAGCCCCCUUUCAAAUUCAUGUCAUGUUGUGUGCCAGGUUCUGAGGUCUCUGUUUAUCUUUUCAGAGAGUUACCUGAAAAUACUGUUAUGAUGUGCUCUUUUCCUUUUUCAGACUCUCACCAAGGUCACUGAAAUUAUUUAAUCUAUAUUAUCGUUUCUUUCAUUUUAACUCUUUCCUGAUUUUAUGCAAAAUGCAAAAUUUAAAAGAAUUGUUUGAGUAAUUUCAUAUUGGAUCAAAAAUUGUUAUGAUGACAUCCAGUUGUGCCAAAAUUGGUUGGGUUUUCCUCAUUUGUUUAAUUAUUGCAGUUUCAGAAUAGAGAAUCCACGAGGUCUUCGUGGUCACAAUGUAUUUCUGCUUCUAGUGUAAUCAUUAAGUAUUGACUUGAAUUAGUUUCCCAUUUUUGAAAUAGGCAAUUAUAUAGGAAAUUUUGUUCUCUUUUUGGUAUGGGUGAAGCAGUCACAGGCAUGAGACACCUGGAUGGUUUCUGGAGUGCUAUAAUAUAUGUUGGUCUCUGUUUUGAUUACUUGCUGCAUUUGGGUGAUGCAAAUUCAUUAAGCUGUACAAUUAUAGUGCAUAUAAUUUUUCAGUCAGUAUUUAUACUUCAAUGGAAAGUAGAAAAUACCAUGAAGGGAAUCCAAAUAUUGGUUAAGACACUCUGUAACAAUAUCUUCCACUAGAUUAUGUGUUACUUGCUUCAUAAUGAUCACUGUUCUUGUAAGAGUCCAAUUGUGUUGUCUAACAUAAACAUAUUCAUAAAACUGUAUUAUGAAGUAUUUUUUAUUUCAACACAUGCAUUUAUUUUCCCAUGCAUAUGCCUAAAUUCUUUUAUGUAUACCUUUUUUCUGUUAUGGGAAUCAGUGUGAUUAUUUUCUUAAUGCAUGCAAAGAUGUCACUCAUAGGUUUUAGAACAAUAGAAAUCCACAUGCCUUGCACCGUGGAAAAACUCACGUACUUUUGGUGAAAUGAGUUGAAACAUAAAGCCACAGUCAGAAUGGUAACUGCUUGGAUUGGCAAGUCGUUCUUACCUUUGGAGUUGCUGACACACUGAGACUACACUCUUUAUUUCACUUUUAAAUCCUUAAUUUUCUCUACUUUAGUGUAAGAUCAGAAAGCUCUCACCAUCAAUUACUGUCAUGGCUUCACUUAAGAAAUUCUAAUGAUACAAAGACUAUAAGAUGACUUAUGGUAGGCCGGGUGUGGUGGGGAACACCUGUAACCUCAGUACUUGGGAGGCUGAGGAAGGAGGAUCACUGCGAGUUCGA